Molecule: ribosomal RNA, 400 nt
Filed under: uncultured fungus
Lineage: Eukaryota; Fungi
Description: partial 18S ribosomal RNA
Source: RNAcentral
UCCUCUAAAUGACCAAGUUUGGAUGACUUUUUAGUCCCUAGCUGCUGUUGCCAGCUGCCAAAGUCCAAUCCGAAAGCCUCACUAAGCCAUUCAAUCGGUAGUAGCGACGGGCGGUGUGUACAAAGGGCAGGGACGUAAUCAACGCGAGCUGAUGACUCACGCUUACUAGGAAUUCCUCGUUGAAGUCCAAUAAUUGCAAUGGACUAUCCCCAGCACGAUCAAGUUUCAAAAGAUUACCCAGACCUUCCGGCCAAGGUUGUAAACUCGUUGACUUGAUCAGUGUAGCGCGCGUGCGGCCCAGAACAUCUAAGGGCAUCACAGACCUGUUAUUGCCUCAAACUUCCAUUGACUAAUAGUCAAUAGUCCCUCUAAGAAGUUGACGACCAACAAACGUUGGCCU